RNAcentral lists this ribosomal RNA (897 nucleotides) under Cladosporium sp. CPC 15746. RNAcentral describes it as "eukaryotic LSU rRNA". It matches the Rfam family "Eukaryotic large subunit ribosomal RNA", at positions 41 to 964 of the family's 3401-position model. Lineage: Eukaryota; Fungi; Ascomycota; Dothideomycetes; Cladosporiales; Cladosporiaceae. The record is from RNAcentral.
UAUCAAUAAGCGGAGGAAAAGAAACCAACAGGGAUUGCUCUAGUAACGGCGAGUGAAGCAGCAAUAGCUCAAAUUUGAAAUCUGGCGUCUUCGACGUCCGAGUUGUAAUUUGUAGAGGAUGCUUCUGAGUAACCACCGACCUAAGUUCCUUGGAACAGGACGUCAUAGAGGGUGAGAAUCCCGUAUGCGGUCGGAAAGGUGCUCUAUACGUAGCUCCUUCGACGAGUCGAGUUGUUUGGGAAUGCAGCUCUAAAUGGGAGGUAAAUUUCUUCUAAAGCUAAAUAUUGGCCAGAGACCGAUAGCGCACAAGUAGAGUGAUCGAAAGAUGAAAAGCACUUUGGAAAGAGAGUUAAAAAGCACGUGAAAUUGUUAAAAGGGAAGGGAUUGCAACCAGACUUGCUCGCGGUGUUCCGCCGGUCUUCUGACCGGUCUACUCGCCGCGUUGCAGGCCAGCAUCGUCUGGUGCCGCUGGAUAAGACUUGAGGAAUGUAGCUCCUUCGGGAGUGUUAUAGCCUCUUGUGAUGCAGCGAGCGCCGGGCGAGGUCCGCGCUUCGGCUAGGAUGCUGGCGUAAUGGUCGUAAUCCGCCCGUCUUGAAACACGGACCAAGGAGUCUAACAUCUAUGCGAGUGUUCGGGUGUCAAACCCCUACGCGUAAUGAAAGUGAACGGAGGUGAGAACCGCAAGGUGCAUCAUCGACCGAUCCUGAUGUCUUCGGAUGGAUUUGAGUAAGAGCAUAGCUGUUGGGACCCGAAAGAUGGUGAACUAUGCCUGAAUAGGGUGAAGCCAGAGGAAACUCUGGUGGAGGCUCGCAGCGGUUCUGACGUGCAAAUCGAUCGUCAAAUUUGGGUAUAGGGGCGAAAGACUAAUCGAACCAUCUAGUAGCUGGUUCCUGCCGA